Molecule: ribosomal RNA, 431 nt
Filed under: uncultured bacterium
Lineage: Bacteria
Description: partial 16S ribosomal RNA
Rfam family: Bacterial small subunit ribosomal RNA
Source: RNAcentral
CCUACGGGAGGCUGCAGUGGGGAAUUUUGCGCAAUGGGCUAACGCCUGACGCAGCAACGCCGCGUGGAGGAUGAAGGUCUUUGGAUUGUAAACUCCUGUCAGCAGGGAAAUUGUACCUGCAGAGGAAGCCCCGGCUAACUCUGUGCCAGCAGCCGCGGUAAUACAGAGGGGGCAAGCGUUAUUCGGAAUUAUUGGGCGUAAAGGGCGCGUAGGCGGCUUUGCAAGUGACGGGUGAAAUCCCUCGGCUUAACCGAGGAACUGCCUGUCAGACUGUGAGGCUUGAGACCGGGAGAGGUGAGUGGAAUUCCCAGUGUAGCGGUGAAAUGCGUAGAUAUUGGGAGGAACACCAGUGGCGAGGCGGCUCACUGGACCGGACUGACGCUGAGGCGCGAAAGCGUGGGGAGCAAACAGGAUUAGAUACCCUUGUAGUC